Non-coding RNA from Xyrichtys novacula (pearly razorfish), 679 nucleotides. The record is from the annotation of a GenBank genome assembly. Lineage: Eukaryota; Metazoa; Chordata; Actinopteri; Labriformes; Labridae.
UCUGCUUCCUCACCGCUGCGGGCUCCAGGACGGAGCCCUGGCGUGUAAGUGUCCUUCUCGGCACAGUCCAAUCCCCGAUCCAGACUGUCCUCUAUUAGAUCCUGCCUGGUGUCGUUGGCUGUCUGCUGGUUGUUGUUUUUAUCCAUUUCAGCCAUGGCUCCACACUCCUCUCCGCCCGGCUGUGCCAGCUGCGCCUGUCUGGCGGAAAAGAUCCAGAAGCUGGAACAAAGGAUCUCCACACUCUACCAGAUCCAGGAAGCCGAGAAACUCAUGGACACCAUCGUCUUCAGAACAUCACAUCCCGACUCCACCGGCUCGUCGGAUCCGGACCCCGCCGCUCCCAACACCUCUCCCCCGGCUGCUGCGACCACCUCUCCUCUGCCUGCUCAUCCAUCCUUCUUCCCCGAGGUCUCCUCGACAAGGCUGGGAGCAAAACCCAAGGCUAAUCCAGAGCCUCCAGCUAGCUCCACUCCAUCCCUGCAGGAGCGCUGGUCCCACAUCACCGCCCGCACCAGGAAAUCAAAGCUCCCACCUCAGGCUCCCCUCUUCCAACUCCACCUGGAGAACAGGUUUGACACCCUGGACCUCCAUGACUCCCCCCCGCUGCCCGCGGGAUCCCAGCCGAUGUCCACCCGGCUAUCCCAUGGGUCCUGCGGUCCUCCGCCUCCCGUGCCCGACC